Molecule: ribosomal RNA, 301 nt
Filed under: uncultured bacterium
Lineage: Bacteria
Description: partial 16S ribosomal RNA
Rfam family: Bacterial small subunit ribosomal RNA
Source: RNAcentral
CAGUAGCCACGGUAAUACGGAGGGAGCUAGCGUUGUUCGGAAUUACUGGGCGUAAAGCGCGCGUAGGCGGUUACUCAAGUCAGAGGUGAAAGCCCGGGGCUCAACCCCGGAACUGCCUUUGAAACUAGGUGACUAGAAUCUUGGAGAGGUCAGUGGAAUUCCGAGUGUAGAGGUGAAAUUCGUAGAUAUUCGGAAGAACACCAGUGGCGAAGGCGACUGACUGGACAAGUAUUGACGCUGAGGUGCGAAAGCGUGGGGAGCAAACAGGAUUAGAUACCCGUGUAGUCCCUGUCUCUUAUAC